GACGAACGCUGGCGGCGUGCUUAACACAUGCAAGUCGAACGGAAAGGCCCUGCUUUUGUGGGGUGCUCGAGUGGCGAACGGGUGAGUAACACGUGAGUAACCUGCCCUUGACUUUGGGAUAACUUCAGGAAACUGGGGCUAAUACCGGAUAGGAGCUCCUGCUGCAUGGGGGGGGUUGGAAAGUUUCGGCGGUUGGGGAUGGACUCGCGGCUUAUCAGCUUGUUGGUGGGGUAGUGGCUUACCAAGGCUUUGACGGGUAGCCGGCCUGAGAGGGUGACCGGCCACCUUGGGACUGAGAUACGGCCCAGACGCCUACGGGAGGCAGCAGUGGGGAAUAUUGCACAAUGGGCGGACGCCUGAUGCAGCAACGCCGCGUGCGGGAUGCCGGCCUUCGGGUUGUAAACCGCUUUCGCCUGUGACGAAGCGUGAGUGACGGUAAUGGGUAAAGAAGCACCGGCUAACUACGUG
RNAcentral lists this ribosomal RNA (468 nucleotides) under uncultured bacterium. Its description in RNAcentral is "partial 16S ribosomal RNA". It matches the Rfam family "Bacterial small subunit ribosomal RNA", at positions 28 to 507 of the family's 1533-position model. The record is from RNAcentral.